RNAcentral lists this long non-coding RNA (275 nucleotides) under Lathyrus oleraceus (garden pea). Its description in RNAcentral is "Pisum sativum (pea) long non-coding RNA (PSAT_LNC038362)". Lineage: Eukaryota; Viridiplantae; Streptophyta; Magnoliopsida; Fabales; Fabaceae. The record is from RNAcentral.
UAAAUAAAUAAAUAAUUAAACCGGGGUGUUACAUGCAAGCUCAGGAAGAUACGAAUUUGGAAACAUGUUUAUUUUGAACAAUGUCUGUAUGAUUUCUCAUUGUAGAAUCUGGUCAAUAAUCCCCACAGGUAGGAUUUAUGGUUUCAAGUUUCUAGAGUCAUGAACCCUUCUUGAAAAUAUUGCUGCCUUGAUGAAUACUCAUCAGAUAUUAAUGCCCUAUGGAUGAUCUUUUCUAGGUGAGAUUUUUGUAUCAACCCAAUGAGGGAUACAUCUCG